Non-coding RNA from Streptomyces sp., 75 nucleotides. It matches the Rfam family "ASpks TB sRNA". The record is from Rfam. NCBI's taxonomy places the organism in Bacteria, Bacillati, Actinomycetota, Actinomycetes, Kitasatosporales, Streptomycetaceae.
CUUCACCGACCCCAGCCACAACGGACGCCCACCCUGGCGCCCCUGCCCAUACGUCGCCAGCAGCGCCUGCGCCUC